UACGGAAGGCAGCAGUGGGGAAUAUUGGACAAUGGGCGAAAGCCUGAUCCAGCCAUGCCGCAUGAGUGAAGAAGGCCUUCGGGUUGUAAAGCUCUUUUAGUGAGAAAGAUAAUGACGGUACUCACAGAAGAAGUCCUGGCUAACUCCGUGCCAGCAGCCGCGGUAAUACGGAGGGUGCGAGCGUUAAUCGGAAUUACUGGGCGUAAAGGGCACGCAGGCGGUUAAUUAAGUUGGAUGUGAAAUCCCCGGGCUUAACCUGGGAAUGGCAUUCAAGACUGGUUAGCUAGAGUCUUGUAGAGGGGGUAGAAUUCCAUGUGUAGCGGUGAAAUGCGUAGAGAUGUGGAGGAAUACCGGUGGCGAAGGCGGCCCCUGGACAAGACUGACGCUCAUGUGCGAAAGCGUGGGGAGCAAACAGGGAUUAGAUACC
This 427-nucleotide ribosomal RNA is filed under the name uncultured bacterium. RNAcentral describes it as "bacterial SSU rRNA". It matches the Rfam family "Bacterial small subunit ribosomal RNA", at positions 340 to 786 of the family's 1533-position model. The record is from RNAcentral.